AAUGGCGCAGCGGACGGGAUUCGAACCCG
Molecule: transfer RNA, 29 nt
Filed under: Renibacterium salmoninarum
Lineage: Bacteria; Bacillati; Actinomycetota; Actinomycetes; Micrococcales; Micrococcaceae
Description: partial tRNA-Asp
Source: RNAcentral